UGGAAAACAUGGAUGCUUGUUUUCGAUAGUUUUUAUCGAUGUUAAACAUGUUUUUCUAUCGAUGUUCAACACUACUUACUAGAGUGAAAACAAAAACACUUUCAUAACCAAAACAAGCUCUAAUGAGAGGGGGGGAAAGCGGAUAUCGCUUUCAUCUGAUAAGGAUGUAAAACUGGCUACGUCUAGAGUUCCGUUUUUCUUAUUUCUGUGUGUUUACGGUUUGUUAUAUACAUCAUGCCGUUCCAACAUUAACAUAUUAAUUAGCAAAAUCUUUUUGAAUGAUUCGUUUAGAUAUUGUUUACAGGUCGCUAGAUAUAAUUAAACAUAAUUUAUCUGCCAGAACUUACUCGCUUGAUGAAAGGAAAUAUUUAUCGAACUCUGGUUUGUUUACUAAAAGUUGUAAAUGAUAAAAAUGUGAAUAAUGUAUCGAUUUAUGUAAAUCAGUGUUCAAUAGCUUUUAGACCCGUGUCGUAAAAAAAAAGGAGCAGUAAAGUUCGAAGAUCAAGAGGAACGUAAUUAUCUUGAAAUUACUUUUGUCUAUAUACGAAAGGAAAGCGAUUCUCGUCAGUAUUAAAAUUUUGGAGUUUUUCUAACUUUCUCUAGGACAUUCAGCUCUCUCGUUGCUGCAAAUAUCCGAUUUUUUUCCCUCCGUAUAAUUUUGUAGCGUAAUAUAAACUAGACCAUACGAAAAAAAUUAGUUCAGAUGUGUGUCGUUCAUGGACUGAAAUAUGCACCCUAGAUUCUCGUUUAAAUAAUAUAUGUACAGCUGAAGAAAAUACUUGUUUUGAUAUGAAAAAAUUUGUUUUCGGGAGAAUAAAAUACUGUACACUACAGAAUUAUUCUAACAUGGUUUCUUCAUUCCUCAAGAACGCCUAUACACAAUUAAUUGAACUGGAUGAGUGCCUGCAGAAGAAAAAUUUAAACAGGAAAAAUUUUAUUAGAUGCAAUUUUCCGAUUUACAUAUUUAGAUGCAGAGAAUGAUAAAGGAAAAAAUUCGCAUAAUCGGAUAUAAAAAUAUAUAUAUAUAUGUACACACAAAUGGGGGGGAGAGAGAUCUAUUUCACGCAAAUUCUGCAUUAUUUAGAACGUCCUUUGCCACUGUUACCGACGAAAGUUCUUUCUUUAUUCAUGAAUUGAUCAGAGUUAAAUUGGUUAUUUACUUCAUAAAUAUGUAUAGAGGAUACUUCCAGAAUCACUGAUGCGAAAAAAUUAACUGUUAGAAAAAUAUGAUAUUAAAACUAGAGAUUUCAUCAAGAAAUAUUCCAUAUAAACAGUUUCGGUAUAUUAAAAAAAAAAAAAAAAAAAAAAAUUCUAAGAUAGAUAUAAAAACGAUAAACAGGAUAAAAAAAAGUGUUUUCCAUUGAAAAUCGCAACUAAAAAUAAAAAGGAUCGAGCGGAGAUGCGUGAAAUAGAAUUUAGAUCGUCUACUCCUUCAUUUGAAUAGUUAAUGUCUGGUAUAGAGAGAGAGAUGCGUACAUCGAAAUCUAUCGAUUAGUCAUUAAAAUAAAUAAAUCUGGUACAAAUUCCGUAUAGGGUAUCCGGAUAAUUUAACAUUUAUCAUUGGCAACAGUAGUAGUGCCAAUAGUCGAUGGAUAUAUAAUUCGGACGAGUUUUGGAAACGAUCCGUUCCCAUUUUGUAUUCUGGAUUAUAGAGUAUCGAUUUCUUCCUGUUUCGGGGCUUACGAGAGCUAAAAAAAAUCGAGAGCAUCUGUAAAUAAUUGUUAAAUUUUAGUUUAGUUUCGAAGCCACACAUUUUGGCUUUGAAAAAAAAUAUAUAUAUAUAUGUGGCGUGAAUGAUAAAAACACGACAGAUGGGAUCGGGACGACCUUGACGGAUUCAUUAGUGGUGACUCAACAAACUAGUUCGUGAAUAAACGUGUAGGUGUUACGCCAUUCGAGGCAGCAGUUCUGUAAAAGCGAAUAGAUGUGAGGAGACAACACGCAAUUAAUUGUUUUGACUAAAUCUAUAUUUUUAAACUUUAUGUAAUCGGAAACCAUUGGAGAAGCGAGUUACACUCUGGAAAGGAAUGAAGGUGCAUUCAUAAAAUUUUAACUUUUAUUGAGAGCUAGCGGUUUGUCAGCCGUAAAACAAUAAAAAAAAAAUUUGUUUUUUUUUUGAAUAAAAACGAAGAGUCGAUACUACUGCAACCAUCUUUAGUUUUGCGAUUUUAUGCAAAAUUUUAAUUUCGCUUAGCCUCGGGCAUCGAAAAUAUUAAUUAAAAUCGGAACUUUCAAUUUGGCCUCGGUCCAACGGAGUUGUUGUAUGUAAUGAUAAAUUAACAAUGGAUUUCGAGUUAGAAUUUGCAUAAGAGAUAAUGGACAUCGAAUGGUCGUCUUUCGACGAUUCUUCUUGACCUGUAAAAAAAGAAAAAUCGUUAUUGCAAACAUCAUUAAGUUUGUAUAUCUUAAUAACCAUUCCACUUUUAUGUUUGAACUUUAUAAAAUUUUCAACUUUAUUAAAUGUUUU
This 2467-nucleotide long non-coding RNA is filed under the name Androctonus crassicauda. Lineage: Eukaryota; Metazoa; Arthropoda; Arachnida; Scorpiones; Buthidae. The record is from RNAcentral.